GCCUGAAGGAACCUGGGUUGGCUUCCUAGGCUUCCAGGUGCGUCCUGCCUGCAGCCAGGUCUACAGCUUCUUCCAUUGCGCAGACCCCUCUGCCUCACGGCUUGAGCCACUGCUGGAGCCCAAGUUCCACCUGGUGCCGCCUGUCAGCGUGCCUCGCUACCAGAGGUUCCCACUGGGCGAUGGGCAGUCCCUCCUCCUCGCCCCCUCUUCCUGGAGGGCAGCUCCCGGGACAGCCCGCCACUUCUGGACGCCCCUGCCUCGCCCCCUCAGGCCUCGAGGUUCCAGCGCCCAGGACGGAGGAUGAGCGAAGGGAGCUCCCACAGCGAGAGCUCGGAGUCCUCGGACAGCAUGGCACCUGCGGGUGCCUCCCGCAUCACAGCCAAGUGGUGGGGAAGCAAGAGGAUCGACUAUGCCCUGUACUGCCCUGAUGUCCUCACGGCCUUCCCCACCGUGGCCCUGCCCCACCUCUUCCACGCCAGCUACUGGGAGUCCACGGAUGUGGUGGCCUUCAUCCUGAGACAGGUGAUGCGCUAUGAGAGCGUGAACAUCAAGGAGAGCGCCCGCCUGGACCCCGCGGCACUGAGUCCCGCCAACCCCCGGGAGAAGUGGCUUCGUAAGCGGACUCAGGUCAAGCUGAGGAAUGUCACGGCUAAUCACCGGGCUAACGAUGUGAUUGCUGCUGAAGAUGGCCCCCAGGUCCUGGUGGGGCGGUUCAUGUACGGGCCCCUCGACAUGGUGGCUCUGACUGGAGAGAAGGUGGACAUCCUAGUAAUGGCAGAGCCGUCCUCAGGCCGCUGGGUACACCUGGACACAGAGAUCACCAACAGCAGUGGUCGCAUCACAUACAAUGUGCCGCGGCCCCGGCGCCUGGGGGUCGGCGUCUAUCCUGUGAAGAUGGUCGUCAGGGGCGACCAGACCUGCGCCAUGAGCUACCUCACGGUGUUGCCCCGGGGCAUGGAGUGCGUCGUGUUCAGCAUUGACGGGUCCUUUGCGGCCAGCGUGUCUAUCAUGGGAAGCGACCCCAAGGUCCGGCCGGGUGCAGUGGACGUUGUCCGGCACUGGCAGGACCUGGGCUACAUGAUCCUUUACAUCACGGGACGGCCGGACAUGCAGAAGCAGCGGGUGGUGUCGUGGCUGUCGCAGCACAACUUCCCACAGGGCAUGAUCUUCUUCUCCGACGGGCUGGUGCAUGACCCGCUGCGGCAGAAGGCCAUCUUCCUGCGCAACCUCAUGCAGGAGUGCUUCAUCAAAAUCAGUGCGGCCUAUGGCUCCACGAAGGACAUCUCUGUCUACAGCGUGCUGGGCCUGCCUGCCUCCCAGAUCUUCAUUGUGGGCCGGCCCACCAAGAAGUACCAAACCCAGUGCCAGUUCCUGAACGAGGGCUACGCCGCACACCUGGCCGCGCUGGAGGCCAGCCACCGCUCACGCCCAAAGAAGAACAACUCGCGCAUGAUCCUGCGCAAGGGCAGCUUCGGGCUGCACGCGCAGCCAGAGUUCCUGCGGAAGCGCAACCACCUGCGCAGAACCAUGUCCGUGCAGCAGCCUGACCCGCCCGCCGCCAACCCCAAGCCCGAGCGGGCCCAGAGCCAGCCCGAGUCGGACAAGGACCACGAGCGGCCGC
Molecule: small RNA, 1621 nt
Filed under: Pongo abelii (Sumatran orangutan)
Lineage: Eukaryota; Metazoa; Chordata; Mammalia; Primates; Hominidae
Description: processed transcript
Source: RNAcentral